Mangifera indica (mango) is the source of this 569-nucleotide long non-coding RNA. RefSeq lists it as uncharacterized. The record is from RefSeq and is a predicted model, not a curated record. Lineage: Eukaryota; Viridiplantae; Streptophyta; Magnoliopsida; Sapindales; Anacardiaceae. The transcript has 3 exons.
GGGAAAGAAAAAGAAAGAAGAGAAAGGAGAAGAGGAAAUUGAUAGAAAAAUAAGGAUAAGGUGAAGAAAGAGGAAGAUUGAUAAAGAAAAAACAGCAUCAAUUUUGGGUCUACCCAAAUUUAUUUUAUGUCAGGUAUGACAGAUUUUCAGUUGCUUUGCUUCCAUAAUAUUUCACUUCAGGUAUGACAGAUGUUAGUUGGUCUACCUGUGCAGUAUUUUAUGAUAGGUAUGACAAAUUUUUAAUUGCUCUGCCUGUGUAGUAUUUUACCCCAGACAUGACAGAUUUCAAUUGCUCUAUCCAAGCAAAACUCAGCAUGUUAGAUAUGACAGUUCUUUCUCGCUCUAUUCGUGUUGGGGACAUCCACUGGGUAUGAUAGAUUUCUCCUUGAGAAUAUUAGUAGUGAUGUACAACUUAAGUUAUUGUAUUGGCGAAAGGUUCAUAAAUAAAUAAAGAAAAUAAAAAUAUGAGUUAUUGACAAUCAAAUCUUCUUUUUAAAGAUGAUAUUUUCUAAGCAUAAUUUUAUCACUCAUGCAAUGUGUGUUCCUUUAAAUUUAUUCAGAAUAUUGAG